CCACGAUGCCACGGUUUAACUCACAGCAUCACACGUAGCCUCCCACCGCUCAGCCUAAGCAGUUUCUUAUCCCUUCACGGACUCUCUCCUCCACUCAUUUUUUCUCCUCUCUCUAAAUCAGCACAGGAUACGGGAGGGCAGCAGGGCGGAGGGGCGUCGCGGGAGGCUCCGUCAGGACGCCUCCGACGAUCGUGAGGAGGCACGUCGCGCCGCGGGAGGAUCCACGACGCCGCCACCGACAAGCGCGACGAGGCGCUUCGCGUCGCGGGAGGUUCCGUCACGCCGCCGCCGAGCACGAGGAGACGUGUCGCGUCUCAUGAGGCUCUGGCACGCCGCCGGCGACGAGCACGAGGAGGCGUGCCGCGUCUCGGGAGGUUCCGCCACGCCGGCGACGACCAGAAGGAGGCACGCCGCGUCUUGGGAGGCCCCGCCGCCGGCGACGAGCACGAGGAGGCGCGCCGCGUCUCGAGAGGCUCCGCCAUGCUGCCGGAAACAAUGACGCGAGUCGCCGGCGGCUCCUCCACCAAACGUCUCUGACGAGCGCAACGAGGCGCGUUGCGGGAACCCUCCACCAGGACGCCUCCGACGAGGACGACAAGGCGCGUCGUGGGAAGCUUCCCUCGCUGGACACAGCCUGCACCACCGCACCACGCCUCCGCCUCUCCCGUUUCCCCGUUGCCAUGGUGCUCGGCCGCGCCCGUACUCGCUCGCCCGAAAAUCCUAGCCCCGCCUUGGGCUUGGUCGCCGGCGUUGCUCAGACGCUGCCGCACCUCCGGCUGAUCCUCCUCGUGGAGCAGGUAUUCCUUUACUUUGCCUGGACCUCAUGGAGCCCGAGCUCCUUCUCCACUACAUCGACGCCGGCAUCCACCUCCUGGAACCUCGCUUCGGCCAUGUCGUCCCUUCCCAUCGGUGGGUGGUUGGUGGUUCACCGUCGGGGAAGCUGAUGAGGUAUCCUCCACUCUGGCUUCCGGCUCAGUCGUCGCGGCAGCAGGCGCCGAUCUGGCCACCCCACGACAUCGGAAGGGAGUUGGGGUCGUGGAGCCAUCACCGGCAUGGAGAGGCGGGACAGUGAGCAGGGAGCGGCGAGGAGGUGACGCCCAUGUCAACCACAGGUGCGGAGGCCACCAGCGGCAGCGAGCAGCGUCGGUCCACAGUUACGUGCGUGCCCUACUGCGUCUGGGUAGCCUCUCUCUGUUCUUCCUCUCCCGCCUCACUUGCCCUCUUUCUCUGUCAGUGAGCAGAGGGGCAGCGCACUAUUGCAUCUAGACCUCCGUCUGCACGUUUGUUUGUCCAUCGGGUGAGGAACUUCUAAAACAUGAAAAAUGAAAUUGCAAGGUGUACUAUUCUGUGAUGUUCCAGGAUUCAAAUCGUGGAAAAGGAGCCUGCCACUAAAUUGUUCUGUCCAUGAGUAUGCCAUCCUCAAGAUGUCUAUGCAGGCAAGAACUUCAUGCUUUCUUGCUCUGGUUGGUGGGUCAGAUGAGCUUGCAAUAUCUCUGAGUUGUGCACAAGAAGACCUUUUGUGUAGGUUUAUUCUUGAGGGACAUGCCCGACGAGGAUAUUUCGAGGUGAUGAAGUAUUCAGCAUUCGACUCAUCCUUUCUUUCUUUGACAUAUGGGUGCACAAUAUUGAUCUCCUUUUCUGUUUUACUCACCCGAGCGGCAACACGAAGCUGCAGUUGCUGAAAAUAGCGGUGCUAGCAUGAGGAUCACAUGUUCGUCUGUCUCUUAUUUCUAUCUCUUUUGGUAUAUCUUUCUCAGUCCUGAUACCUUUUGAUGAUACAGUUUUUCAUGUUUGAGUUGAUCAUUCAGUAAGAUCAAGCAACAUAAUGCUACAACUACUUCUUACAGUUCCAGGUUGUAAUCACAUCCUUUGAGUUGUUGUUGUGUUAAGCUUCUGGUUCAUCUUUUUGUACAAUCUGUUUCGUUCUGCAGUUAGCCAAGAUAAAUAUGAAUAUCAAAAGGGUUGUUGGAUAUCGGCAAUGGUGCAAUAAAUUUUGGAAUGCCAUUCGAUUUGCAAUGGGCAGGCUUGGUGAUCAUUACAGUCCACUAGCAAUUAUCGUUGUGUCUCCAGUGCCUCCAAUCUGCAAAUAGAUACUCUCAGUAUUUAAUAAGGCUAUUGCAAUUAUUUGAACUGGUUUAAGGCGUGAUCAGAAGUCCUCCAGCUUAUGGAUUCCCGAAACUCCGGCGUGGAGCAGUGCCAAAAAGUCUAGCUUCACGGAGCCAGAUUCGAGAAGCCUGCCCUAUUUGAUGUACAAAUAUACAUUUAUAAGUGGAUCUGAUUAAAGGGGCAUUGGCACCAUUGGCAUCUUGAUGGCAGAGCAAUGAUGCGCAUCCACUGGUUAUAGAGAGAAAUGAGGUCAAUUAUAUCAGUGCAAAUAUCAAGAAGGUGCAUCAAAAGUAUGGAACUGUGUGCGCUGCCGACUUCACUCACCACUAUAAAGUUUUGGCCCUAAUAAGACCAGUUCAUAUUAACACUAUGUGUACCUGUCUCACCUAUCUAUCUUGUUUCGUAAGAUCAGGUUUUUGAACACAUGUAUCUAUUUGGUAGAUCACCGGUGGUUUUUUCCAUAUAGCUUCAGCACUGGCGCGGCGUGCCGCCGCGCCCUUCUUUUGCUAGUACAAUAUAUCCCUCAAGAUUAGAGAUUUCUUGUACGUCUCGAGCAUAUUAGUGAACUUGGUUUGGCAGAACCGUUGUUGCAAGAGAGGACUUCUUUCUAA
Non-coding RNA from Lolium perenne, 2717 nucleotides. NCBI's taxonomy places the organism in Eukaryota, Viridiplantae, Streptophyta, Magnoliopsida, Poales, Poaceae. The record is from RefSeq and is a predicted model, not a curated record.